UCUCCGUAGGUGAACCUGCGGAGGGAUCAUUACAGAGUUCAUGCCCUACCGGGUAGAUCUCCCACCCUAUGUUAUUAUUACUUUGUUGCAUUGGCGGGCCGUUAGGCUCCGGCCCGACUACCGGCCCCGGCUGGUAAGCGCCCGCCAGAGGACCCAAAACCCUGAAUAUUAGUGUCGUCUGAGUACUAUAUAAUAGUUAAAACUUUCAACAACGGAUCUCUUGGUUCUG
This 229-nucleotide unclassified non-coding RNA is filed under the name plant metagenome. RNAcentral describes it as "partial contains small subunit ribosomal RNA, internal transcribed spacer 1, and 5.8S ribosomal RNA". The record is from RNAcentral.